CAGUCGCCGCGGGAAUACGUAGGGUGCAAGCGUUAAUCGGAAUUACUGGGCGUAAAGCGUGCGCAGGCGGUUAUAUAAGACAGAUGUGAAAUCCCCGGGCUCAACCUGGGAACUGCAUUUGUGACUGUAUAGCUAGAGUACGGCAGAGUGGGAUGGAAUUCCGCGUGUAGCAGUGAAAUGCGUAGAUAUGCGGAGGAACACCGAUGGCGAAGGCAAUCCCCUGGGCCUGUACUGACGCUCAUGCACGAAAGCGUGGGGAGCAAACAGGAUUAGAUACCCGUGUAGUCCCUGUCUCUUAUAC
Molecule: ribosomal RNA, 301 nt
Filed under: uncultured bacterium
Lineage: Bacteria
Description: partial 16S ribosomal RNA
Rfam family: Bacterial small subunit ribosomal RNA
Source: RNAcentral